This 960-nucleotide long non-coding RNA is filed under the name Helianthus annuus (common sunflower). Lineage: Eukaryota; Viridiplantae; Streptophyta; Magnoliopsida; Asterales; Asteraceae. The record is from RNAcentral.
AUGAUAAAAGAGAAACAGAAUGAAUAGUGCCAAACUGGUGUCUGGCACCUAUUCAAUGGACGAAAGUGUGGUGGAGAUGAGUUAUUGGGCUCUUUUGGGGGUGAUGGCCUCAUCAGCAACCUUCAACCACGUGUUCCAAGAGAGGGGCAUAUCUCAUCCACGUCUCUUCUUCUUCUCUCACCAGUCAUCGCCACCGCCAUCCGAUUACCGCCGCAACCCUCUCAGAUCAACACGACGGUUUACUCAGCCACCACCCUCGCUAGGGUUUCGGUGAGGUGCCGACGACGGUUGUUUCCGGCUACGUCCGUUCGUAGUGUAUGUUGAAAACCCUAGACACGUUGCAGACAUGUGGCAAGUGUGACUGACAUAAGGUAUACACGUGGCUUUCAAAAACGUGGCCCAAUAGAAGAGUACAUCACCUGCCAGAUGCUUCGUUAAGAGAGAAAUUAAUGAAGAUUAUUGGAUCCGAUUUCUUUAAAAUAGUGCCAGAGGUGAUAACCACUUUUGUUGUUGCUGCUGGGAAUUAUGCAUUCCAGGUCAAAGCACAAUUACUCCACCUGAACAAAUGUUUGCUACAGGUGAGGAGCUCAAGGCAUUGAAAAGAGAGGUGGAGAAAGAUGGCGAAAAGACAAUAAAGCGAAGGGGCGGUGAUAUCAAAACCAAUAUUUAUCAAGAUGUUUUCUAGCAAGGACAAAGAUAGUGAUAACAGGCGUUUGGAUACAUCAUAGAGUCGUUUGUCGUUCGACGAAUGCUGAGGAAACAAAGUCGUGCACGCCGACAUCGAGGAGCAAGAGGUAUUCUUUAUUGUUGUUUUAGGAUGUUUUGUAAGGAAGAAAGGGAGUUUUGAGGGGAUCAUAUGUUUGUAGAAUCAAUUAACAACUCAUUUCCUUUUACUAACAAGUGGUCCAAUUCUUAUGUUGUUUCAAAUGACCAAAAAAAUGGUGUUAAAAGCACAAUUUU